Molecule: unclassified non-coding RNA, 253 nt
Filed under: Hevea brasiliensis (rubber tree)
Lineage: Eukaryota; Viridiplantae; Streptophyta; Magnoliopsida; Malpighiales; Euphorbiaceae
Source: RNAcentral
UGGGAGACCUUUUCAAAAACAGGGUCCCCGGCCUGCAAGCUCUUUCCUAACAUCCUAGCCAUGACUAACUUCCUUGAUUUAAGUUUCUCAGGGUCUGCUGCCCUGUCAUCUUCUUGUGAGUGCUCACUUAUUACCCCUACGAUCUCAUCAAUGCCCACAUCGGCAACACGGUCUAAGAGCGCCAGCAAUUGCUUGGUGCGCUUCAAUAAUAUGCUUUCCACAUCUGCACCACUGGCUACUACUUGCUCCAUCA